UUAAGUAAUUGCGAAUGAACAAGGACAUGCUUAGCUUGACAAUUGGAGCCUCUGGCUUCGACUUGUAUUUUUGAAAUGUAUUACCAACAGAGGUGCAGGUGUCAGCCUAUUGAAAGAAAGCGUCAAUGAGGGUGAGAAUCCUGUUUGUCAUGUGCAAUCCUCUGUGCACGGUGUAUGUUUGCUGAGUCACACUCCUUGGCAUUGGAAUGCAAAGUGGGUGGUAAGUUUCAUGUAAAGGUAAAUAUAGGAUUGAGACUGAUAGCACACAAGUACCAUGAGGGAAAUAUGAAAAGGACUUUGAAAAGAGAAUUAAAUGAGUUUGUAUUUGCUGAACAGAAAAUAAACAGAUUUGAUGUUGCUUGGUGAGAUUGUGGUGCUUGCUUGACAAUAGGUUUUGAUUGUGGGUGUGAUGAUUCUUGCUUUGCUUGCCAGUUUCUAUUUGUACAUUUGAUUACCCUUGCACAUGAAUGGUAAUUUUCCUGCGGGGUUUGGAUUGCAUGUGUUUGUGAUGAUUUGUGUUUUGAUACAUGUGUCUGGUGCUUUUGUAAUUGCUCAUUUCUUGAAGCUGGGCCUACCCUACUAGAGCUUACAAGCCCUGGCACACAAUUGCUGGCAAAAUGCUUCUGCUUGACCCGUCUUGAAACACGGACCAAGGAGUCUAACAGAUGUGCAAGCUUGAGGGUUGCAUACCUUUGUGCGCAAUGAAAGUGUUGGCUGGGAUAUUUGCACCAGCAGCCGACCAAUUAGCAGACAGAGGUUCGAGUUGGAGCAUAUCUAUUAGGACCCGAAAGAUGGUGAACUAUGCCUGAACAGAAUGAAUUCAGAGGAAACUCUGAUGGAGGUUCGUAUCGAUACUGACGUGCAAAUCGUUCGUCAUA
This 878-nucleotide ribosomal RNA is filed under the name Alexandrium affine. RNAcentral describes it as "eukaryotic LSU rRNA". It matches the Rfam family "Eukaryotic large subunit ribosomal RNA", at positions 79 to 909 of the family's 3401-position model. Lineage: Eukaryota; Dinophyceae; Gonyaulacales; Pyrocystaceae. The record is from RNAcentral.